GCCUCGGUAGCUCAAUAGGAAGAGCGUCCGGCUGUUAACCGGAAGGUCGCAGGUUCGAGCCCUGCCCGAGGCG
This 73-nucleotide transfer RNA is filed under the name Candidatus Rehaiarchaeum fermentans. RNAcentral's name for it is "tRNA-Asn". It matches the Rfam family "tRNA". Rfam says of the family: Transfer RNA (tRNA) molecules are approximately 80 nucleotides in length. Their secondary structure includes four short double-helical elements and three loops (D, anti-codon, and T loops). Lineage: Archaea; Nanobdellati; Candidatus Parvarchaeota. The record is from RNAcentral.